Molecule: ribosomal RNA, 207 nt
Filed under: uncultured bacterium
Lineage: Bacteria
Description: partial 16S ribosomal RNA
Rfam family: Bacterial small subunit ribosomal RNA
Source: RNAcentral
CGUCUAGGCGGUCGGGUAAGUCACCUGUGAAAGCCCUCGGCUCAACCGGGGAAGGUCGGGUGAUACUGCUUGACUUGGGUGUAGGAGAGGGAAGUGGAACUCACAGAGUAGCGGUGGAAUGCGUAGAUACUGUGAGGUACCCCGAUGGCGAAGGCAACUUCCUGGCCUACUACCGACGCUGAAGCGCGAAAGCGUGGGGAGCAAAGG